RNAcentral lists this ribosomal RNA (496 nucleotides) under uncultured bacterium. RNAcentral's name for it is "partial 16S ribosomal RNA". It matches the Rfam family "Bacterial small subunit ribosomal RNA", at positions 28 to 506 of the family's 1533-position model. The record is from RNAcentral.
GAUGAACGCUGGCGGCGUGCCUAAUACAUGCAAGUCGAGCGAACAGACGAGGAGCUUGCUCCUCUGACGUUAGCGGCGGACGGGUGAGUAACACGUGGAUAACCUACCUAUAAGACUGGGAUAACUUCGGGAAACCGGAGCUAAUACCGGAUAAUAUAUUGAACCGCAUGGUUCAAUAGUGAAAGACGGUUUUGCUGUCACUUAUAGAUGGAUCCGCGCCGCAUUAGCUAGUUGGUAAGGUAACGGCUUACCAAGGCAACGAUGCGUAGCCGACCUGAGAGGGGGAUCGGCCAACCUGGAACUGGGGCCCGGUCCAGACCCCGACGGGAGGCAGCAGGAGGGAAUCUUCCGCAAGGGGCGAAAGCCUGCCGGAGCAACCCCGCGUGAGUGAUGAAGGUCUUCGGAUCGUAAAACUCUGUUAUUAGGGAAAAACAAAUGUGUAAGUAACUAUGCACGUCUUGACGGUACCUAAGCAGAAAGCCACGGCUAACUACGU